Molecule: ribosomal RNA, 460 nt
Filed under: uncultured bacterium
Lineage: Bacteria
Description: partial 16S ribosomal RNA
Rfam family: Bacterial small subunit ribosomal RNA
Source: RNAcentral
CCUACGGGAGGCUGCAGUGAGGAAUAUUGGUCAAUGGACGAGAGUCUGAACCAGCCAAGUAGCGUGAAGGAUGACUGCCCUAUGGGUUGUAAACUUCUUUUAUAUGGGAAUAAAAUGUUCCACGUGUGGGAUUUUGUAUGUACCAUAUGAAUAAGGAUCGGCUAACUCCGUGCCAGCAGCCGCGGUAAUACGGAGGAUCCGAGCGUUAUCCGGAUUUAUUGGGUUUAAAGGGAGCGUAGGUGGAUUGUUAAGUCAGUUGUGAAAGUUUGCGGCUCAACCGUAAAAUUGCAGUUGAAACUGGCAGUCUUGAGUACAGUAGAGGUGAGCGGAAUUCGUGGUGUAGCGGUGAAAUGCUUAGAUAUCACGAAGAACUCCGAUUGCGAAGGCAGUUCACUGGACUGCAACUGACACUGAGGCUCGAAAGUGUGGGUAUCAAACAGGAUUAGAUACCCGUGUAGUC